RNAcentral lists this ribosomal RNA (992 nucleotides) under Metschnikowia hibisci. RNAcentral's name for it is "partial small subunit ribosomal RNA". It matches the Rfam family "Bacterial small subunit ribosomal RNA", at positions 369 to 1533 of the family's 1533-position model. The record is from RNAcentral. Lineage: Eukaryota; Fungi; Ascomycota; Pichiomycetes; Serinales; Metschnikowiaceae.
CAAUGAUCUAACGACUGAUCAGUUAUCUACGAGAAGGAUAUUAAACCCGUCUAAGACGGGCAUAUAUAUAUAAAAAAAACUAUAUAUAUAUAAAAAUAAUAAAAGAUUAACUAUAAACUUCUAAAUAAUAUGAUAAUAAUGAUAUCGAUUAUGAAAAGUCCUAACUAAAAUAUGUGCCAGCAGCUGCGGUUAGACAUAGAGGGCAAGCAUUGGUCAAAAUGGCUUAAAGGAUCUGUAGAACGUAUAAAAAAAUUUAAUAUAGAAUAAUGACUAGAAAUAGGAAGGGUAAUAAGAAUUAAAGUUAGAGGGAUAAAAUACUACGAAAACAUUAAGACUAUAAAGAGAUUACUUAAAAUUAUUGACGUUGUGAGAUGAAGGCUACGGUAGCGACAUGGAUUCGAUACCCAUUUAGUCGUAGCAGUGAACUAUGAGUACAAUAUUAUGAAAAAUGAAAAUGAAUAGUACUCCGCCUGACUAGUACGCUCGCAAGGGUGAAAUACAAGACAUUAGACGGUUGUAGUCCCAAGCAGUGGAACAUGUCAUUUAAUUGGAUGAUCCUCCAAGAACCUUACCAUCUCUUGAAUUAUUAACAGGCGUUACAUCGUUGUCGUCAGUUCAUGCCGUGAGGUUUAAUAUUAAGUUAUUGAAUGAACGUAACCCUUUUCUUAUAGAUAAGUAUAAUUGUAAAAUUAUAGGAAGUAGAGGUAGAAGACUAAUCAUGAUGACCCUAAUGAGAUGGGCAAUCGACGUGUUACAAUAUUAAUAACAAUUAAAUUAACUUUAAUGUUAAUAUAAAUAUAAUCUAUAUGAUUAUUUAUUAAAUAUUAAGAAUAAGACAUAGUUUCAUUUAUGGAUUGUAAUCUGAAAUUCGGUUACAUAAAGGAGGAAUUGCUAGUAAUCGUAAACUAGAUAGUUACGGUGAAAUUUUUUGCUACUUCGUACUAACCACUCAUCAACAGCAAGAAAUUUUUAUUUACUUAUUAGCUUUUAUA